UUUGAAAAAAUUGAUGAGAUUAUGGGAAAGACUGGAAGCAUGGUAUCUGUUUCAGAACUUUAUAAACCACCUACUAACUCUACUUUAAAUGAGAAAAAUCCUGACUCUCCUACAAUAAGCAGUGAUACGGCAAUGGAAUCUGAUGACGAUUUAAUAAACAUAUCUAUUAUUCCUGAAAAUUCAAAUAAGAACACCUGCAAGAAAAAAAAGAAAAAAUUCCAGAUUGGGCUCAAGAAUUGCUUGAUAUUCAAAAGAAAAUAAGCGUAGGACUGAUGCCCUUUUGCACUUAACAAAAUCAUUAAUCUAUAUAUAUAAAAUUGAAUGUAUGUCUGUC
RNAcentral lists this long non-coding RNA (334 nucleotides) under Androctonus crassicauda. Lineage: Eukaryota; Metazoa; Arthropoda; Arachnida; Scorpiones; Buthidae. The record is from RNAcentral.